GGGGGCAACCCUGAUCCAGCCAUUCCGCGUGAGUGAAGAAGGCCUUCGGGUUGUAAAGCUCUUUCGCAAGGGAAGAAAACUUAUGAUCGAAUAAAUCAUGAGGUUGACGGUACCUUGAUAAGAAGCACCGGCUAACUACGUGCCAGCAGCCGCGGUAAUACGUAGGGUGCGAGCGUUAAUCGGAAUUACUGGGCGUAAAGCGUGCGCAGGCGGUUUUGUAAGUCGGAUGUGAAAUCCCCGGGCUCAACCUGGGAACUGCGUUCGAAACUGCAAGGCUAGAGUGUGUCAGAGGGGGGUAGAAUUCCACGUGUAGCAGUGAAAUGCGUAGAGAUGUGGAGGAAUACCAAUGGCGAAGGCAGCCCCCUGGGAUAACACUGACGCUCAUGCACGAAAGCGUGGGGAGCAAACAGGAUUAGAUACCCUGGUAGUCCACGCCCUAAACGAUGUCAACUAGUUGUUGGUAGAGUAAAAUCUAUGAGUAACG
RNAcentral lists this ribosomal RNA (484 nucleotides) under uncultured bacterium. RNAcentral's name for it is "bacterial SSU rRNA". It matches the Rfam family "Bacterial small subunit ribosomal RNA", at positions 373 to 848 of the family's 1533-position model. The record is from RNAcentral.